RNAcentral lists this ribosomal RNA (2921 nucleotides) under Staphylococcus aureus M36089. RNAcentral's name for it is "bacterial LSU rRNA". It matches the Rfam family "Bacterial large subunit ribosomal RNA". Lineage: Bacteria; Bacillati; Bacillota; Bacilli; Caryophanales; Staphylococcaceae. The record is from RNAcentral.
UUAAGUUAUUAAGGGCGCACGGUGGAUGCCUUGGCACUAGAAGCCGAUGAAGGACGUUACUAACGACGAUAUGCUUUGGGGAGCUGUAAGUAAGCUUUGAUCCAGAGAUUUCCGAAUGGGGAAACCCAGCAUGAGUUAUGUCAUGUUAUCGAUAUGUGAAUACAUAGCAUAUCAGAAGGCACACCCGGAGAACUGAAACAUCUUAGUACCCGGAGGAAGAGAAAGAAAAUUCGAUUCCCUUAGUAGCGGCGAGCGAAAUGGGAAGAGCCCAAACCAACAAGCUUGCUUGUUGGGGUUGUAGGACACUCUAUACGGAGUUACAAAGGACGACAUUAGACGAAUCAUCUGGAAAGAUGAAUCAAAGAAGGUAAUAAUCCUGUAGUCGAAAAUGUUGUCUCUCUUGAGUGGAUCCUGAGUACGACGGAGCACGUGAAAUUCCGUCGGAAUCUGGGAGGACCAUCUCCUAAGGCUAAAUACUCUCUAGUGACCGAUAGUGAACCAGUACCGUGAGGGAAAGGUGAAAAGCACCCCGGAAGGGGAGUGAAAUAGAACCUGAAACCGUGUGCUUACAAGUAGUCAGAGCCCGUUAAUGGGUGAUGGCGUGCCUUUUGUAGAAUGAACCGGCGAGUUACGAUUUGAUGCAAGGUUAAGCAGUAAAUGUGGAGCCGUAGCGAAAGCGAGUCUGAAUAGGGCGUUUAGUAUUUGGUCGUAGACCCGAAACCAGGUGAUCUACCCUUGGUCAGGUUGAAGUUCAGGUAACACUGAAUGGAGGACCGAACCGACUUACGUUGAAAAGUGAGCGGAUGAACUGAGGGUAGCGGAGAAAUUCCAAUCGAACCUGGAGAUAGCUGGUUCUCUCCGAAAUAGCUUUAGGGCUAGCCUCAAGUGAUGAUUAUUGGAGGUAGAGCACUGUUUGGACGAGGGGCCCCUCUCGGGUUACCGAAUUCAGACAAACUCCGAAUGCCAAUUAAUUUAACUUGGGAGUCAGAACAUGGGUGAUAAGGUCCGUGUUCGAAAGGGAAACAGCCCAGACCACCAGCUAAGGUCCCAAAAUAUAUGUUAAGUGGAAAAGGAUGUGGCGUUGCCCAGACAACUAGGAUGUUGGCUUAGAAGCAGCCAUCAUUUAAAGAGUGCGUAAUAGCUCACUAGUCGAGUGACACUGCGCCGAAAAUGUACCGGGGCUAAACAUAUUACCGAAGCUGUGGAUUGUCCUUUGGACAAUGGUAGGAGAGCGUUCUAAGGGCGUUGAAGCAUGAUCGUAAGGACAUGUGGAGCGCUUAGAAGUGAGAAUGCCGGUGUGAGUAGCGAAAGACGGGUGAGAAUCCCGUCCACCGAUUGACUAAGGUUUCCAGAGGAAGGCUCGUCCGCUCUGGGUUAGUCGGGUCCUAAGCUGAGGCCGACAGGCGUAGGCGAUGGAUAACAGGUUGAUAUUCCUGUACCACCUAUAAUCGUUUUAAUCGAUGGGGGGACGCAGUAGGAUAGGCGAAGCGUGCGAUUGGAUUGCACGUCUAAGCAGUAAGGCUGAGUAUUAGGCAAAUCCGGUACUCGUUAAGGCUGAGCUGUGAUGGGGAGAAGACAUUGUGUCUUCGAGUCGUUGAUUUCACACUGCCGAGAAAAGCCUCUAGAUAGAAAAUAGGUGCCCGUACCGCAAACCGACACAGGUAGUCAAGAUGAGAAUUCUAAGGUGAGCGAGCGAACUCUCGUUAAGGAACUCGGCAAAAUGACCCCGUAACUUCGGGAGAAGGGGUGCUCUUUAGGGUUAACGCCCAGAAGAGCCGCAGUGAAUAGGCCCAAGCGACUGUUUAUCAAAAACACAGGUCUCUGCUAAACCGUAAGGUGAUGUAUAGGGGCUGACGCCUGCCCGGUGCUGGAAGGUUAAGAGGAGUGGUUAGCUUCUGCGAAGCUACGAAUCGAAGCCCCAGUAAACGGCGGCCGUAACUAUAACGGUCCUAAGGUAGCGAAAUUCCUUGUCGGGUAAGUUCCGACCCGCACGAAAGGCGUAACGAUUUGGGCACUGUCUCAACGAGAGACUCGGUGAAAUCAUAGUACCUGUGAAGAUGCAGGUUACCCGCGACAGGACGGAAAGACCCCGUGGAGCUUUACUGUAGCCUGAUAUUGAAAUUCGGCACAGCUUGUACAGGAUAGGUAGGAGCCUUUGAAACGUGAGCGCUAGCUUACGUGGAGGCGCUGGUGGGAUACUACCCUAGCUGUGUUGGCUUUCUAACCCGCACCACUUAUCGUGGUGGGAGACAGUGUCAGGCGGGCAGUUUGACUGGGGCGGUCGCCUCCUAAAAGGUAACGGAGGCGCUCAAAGGUUCCCUCAGAAUGGUUGGAAAUCAUUCAUAGAGUGUAAAGGCAUAAGGGAGCUUGACUGCGAGACCUACAAGUCGAGCAGGGUCGAAAGACGGACUUAGUGAUCCGGUGGUUCCGCAUGGAAGGGCCAUCGCUCAACGGAUAAAAGCUACCCCGGGGAUAACAGGCUUAUCUCCCCCAAGAGUUCACAUCGACGGGGAGGUUUGGCACCUCGAUGUCGGCUCAUCGCAUCCUGGGGCUGUAGUCGGUCCCAAGGGUUGGGCUGUUCGCCCAUUAAAGCGGUACGCGAGCUGGGUUCAGAACGUCGUGAGACAGUUCGGUCCCUAUCCGUCGUGGGCGUAGGAAAUUUGAGAGGAGCUGUCCUUAGUACGAGAGGACCGGGAUGGACAUACCUCUGGUGUACCAGUUGUCGUGCCAACGGCAUAGCUGGGUAGCUAUGUGUGGACGGGAUAAGUGCUGAAAGCAUCUAAGCAUGAAGCCCCCCUCAAAAUGAGAUUUCCCAACUUCGGUUAUAAGAUCCCUCAAAGAUGAUGAGGUUAAUAGGUUCGAGGUGGAAGCAUGGUGACAUGUGGAGCUGACGAAUACUAAUCGAUCGAAGACUUAAUCAA